AUGAAACGAAACCAUAAAUUCAGCAGAUGGCUCCCCAUUAUCGGCAAUACGAACGAAAAAUAGGUUCAGCGUAUUGCAUUCGCAAGAGUCCUGCCUAUCUCGGAUACAGCAACACCCUCAAAUAGGAACAAUAAAAGAAACCAUCAUAAUAAGGAAAAAGAACGAAAACCUACGGAAGAAAGCAAGUAGUCAUACGGCCUCUCAGGAAAUCACAGGGAAAUCACAUGUGCGAAAGAGAAUAAAGGAUGGAUCGAGAGAGAGAUAUA
This 266-nucleotide unclassified non-coding RNA is filed under the name Bombus terrestris (buff-tailed bumblebee). Its description in RNAcentral is "misc RNA ENSBTSG00005030852.1". The record is from RNAcentral. Lineage: Eukaryota; Metazoa; Arthropoda; Insecta; Hymenoptera; Apidae.